RNAcentral lists this unclassified non-coding RNA (231 nucleotides) under Hevea brasiliensis (rubber tree). Lineage: Eukaryota; Viridiplantae; Streptophyta; Magnoliopsida; Malpighiales; Euphorbiaceae. The record is from RNAcentral.
UUUUCUUUUUUUGGAUAGAUAAUAGAAGCAAUCUGUGAAUUUGUUUUCAUUAAAUGACAUUUGCUACUGUGCACUGCAGAGUAAGUACUUAUAACCAAAAGUAGAGAAAUCCAUAAGUCACUGCUAUGCCCAGCAAAAAUUUCUUGUCUCAAAUGGAUGACAUGUUCACCCAGUUAUAUAAUAAGCAUUUUACCCUUCACAGGUGUAGUUCAGGUAGCUAAUUACGCCAAG